RNAcentral lists this unclassified non-coding RNA (521 nucleotides) under Hevea brasiliensis (rubber tree). Lineage: Eukaryota; Viridiplantae; Streptophyta; Magnoliopsida; Malpighiales; Euphorbiaceae. The record is from RNAcentral.
GGAAACCAUAGGACUACACACAGUGGCAGUGACCAAUGGAGUUACUAUUGACAAUAGCAGAGCAUCUGGCAGCUCAACUUCUGAUGAUAACAUUCUUUCCAGUCAUCUUUGAAUCCUACAAGCGAAGACACAGUUACGAGCAUGUUGAUGCUCCUGUUAUCUAUGAGGAUCUGAAUUCGUUAAAACAGGUAAUUUCAAAGAAUUUUUCUUUUUCGAAUAUGAUGUUAGUUUGUUUGAGAUACAAUAGUCUUCUUUUUCUUUUAGAAGACUAUUGUAGUGUAAACCUUUGAUUCAAAUAAUAGGUGCAUUGUCUAUCACUAAGAUGAUCUCUGUCACUUCUGUUCAGUGAUUCUUUGAAGUGAAAAAGUCAUAGGCUUGAUUCAUGAAUAUAUGAAAGGUGGUCUGGAAGGAAAAUAUGAUGCUAGAAUAAUCAAAUUUUGUGUUCUGUUCACUUAGCUUUGAUAGUUCUCACUAUCUCUUGGUGCAGUUGGAUCUUAAACGGUCUUCCCUUGUUUAGACAU